ACAGCAGUCGCCGCGGUAACACAGAGGGUGCGAGCGUUAAUCGGAUUUACUGGGCGUAAAGCGUGCGUAGGCGGCUUCUUAAGUCGGAUGUGAAAUCCCUGAGCUUAACUUAGGAAUUGCAUUCGAUACUGGGAAGCUAGAGUAUGGGAGAGGAUGGUAGAAUUCCAGGUGUAGCGGUGAAAUGCGUAGAGAUCUGGAGGAAUACCGAUGGCGAAGGCAGCCAUCUGGCCUAAUACUGACGCUGAGGUGCGAAAGCGUGGGGAGCAAACAGGAUUAGAUACCCCCGUAGUCCCUGUCUCUUAUAC
Molecule: ribosomal RNA, 305 nt
Filed under: uncultured bacterium
Lineage: Bacteria
Description: partial 16S ribosomal RNA
Rfam family: Bacterial small subunit ribosomal RNA
Source: RNAcentral